This is a small nucleolar RNA of Diospyros lotus (date-plum), 109 nucleotides long. RefSeq annotates it as small nucleolar RNA Z247. The record is from RefSeq and is a predicted model, not a curated record. NCBI's taxonomy places the organism in Eukaryota, Viridiplantae, Streptophyta, Magnoliopsida, Ericales, Ebenaceae. The transcript has a single exon.
CCUCUUAGUGAUAAGGAUCUGCUACUUGCAAUCCUUAAUGGUUUGGAUCAUGAAUAUGAGACUGUAGUAAGUCUAAUUACCUAUCGGAUGGAUGAGAUAGAUCUUGAGA